RNAcentral lists this transfer RNA (65 nucleotides) under Trapezodirus sp. 1 EF-2015. RNAcentral describes it as "tRNA-Phe". The record is from RNAcentral. Lineage: Eukaryota; Metazoa; Arthropoda; Insecta; Coleoptera; Leiodidae.
AUUUAAAUAGCCUAUAUAGGGUGUAAUAUUGAAGAUAUUAAGGAAAUAAUUUUUAUUUUUAAAUA